GUGGGGAAUCUUGCGCAAUGGGCGAAAGCCUGACGCAGCCAUGCCGCGUGAAUGAUGAAGGUCUUAGGAUUGUAAAAUUCUUUCACCGGGGACGAUAAUGACGGUACCCGGAGAAGAAGCUCCGGCUAACUUCGUGCCAGCAGCCGCGGUAAUACGAAGGGGGCUAGCGUUGCUCGGAAUUACUGGGCGUAAAGGGCGCGUAGGCGGACAGCUUAGUCAGAGGUGAAAGCCCAGGGCUCAACCUUGGAAUUGCCUUUGAUACUGGCUGUCUUGAGUUUGGGAGAGGUGAGUGGAACUCCGAGUGUAGAGGUGAAAUUCGUAGAUAUUCGGAAGAACACCAGUGGCGAAGGCGACUCACUGGCCCAAUACUGACGCUGAGGUGCGAAAGCGUGGGGAGCAAACAGGAUUAGAUACCCCGGUAGUCC
This 425-nucleotide ribosomal RNA is filed under the name uncultured bacterium. RNAcentral's name for it is "partial 16S ribosomal RNA". It matches the Rfam family "Bacterial small subunit ribosomal RNA", at positions 354 to 796 of the family's 1533-position model. The record is from RNAcentral.